UCUGUGUGCCUUCGUGUGCCUCCGAGUUGGAUAGAGGGAUGUUCCAUAACUGUCGGUGGCCACUGAAACGAAAACAUCAUCGUCCUUGCGAUGUUAUCACUUUCUGGACUUUAAGACCAGAAAAGAAGAGGAAAAUAAUUUAGUCGUUCGAUCGGCGCAAGUCCUUCGCGCUCUUACUUACGAUACCGGAGCGCCGAUCGAUAGAGCCCGCAGAGUUCAUCCGCUACGAAAAUGGAUACACCAGAGGUACACCACACGCAAACCCGACUUCUUCUCUCGUUCACUAAUACGAACAUGCGGCAACAUAUAUAGGCUCCAAUUGGUAUAUAUUAGCAUACAAUGUUUGCGUCAUGUCUUCUUUCUCUUUCUUUCCUUCUUUCGCAUAGACGUCCAAGUAUUCAGUCAUCUUUUCUUUCAUCCAAGGACAUAGUCGACACAUAUGGAAGAACGUUGUUUAGAAUUUACUAUGUAGCCUCGACGAAUCAGUCGUUGGUGCUGUUAUUAUUGCUGCUGCUGUUACUUUUACUGCUGCUAUUACUGCUGUUGUUUUUCUUGUUUUUGCUUUGCGAAAUUUUUAUUCUCUUUCUUUCUGUAUAUAUAUAUGUUUGUGUUUUGUCUCUUUCUCUCUCUCUGUAUUUCUUUCUCUUUCUCUCGUUGAAUUUUCUCGUAUCUUUUUCUUCUUUUUCUUUUAAUCUUUCGUUUCCCGUAGGUCCACGUGGAAAUUUCAUCGACAAGCAUGCAAGUAUGUACGAGCGUCGAAACGGCGCUCCUGCGGGCAAUUACGUUUGACGGAAGAGCAUCUCUCGCUCGUUUAACUGGGUACCUCAUUAAUUUAAAGCGAAUUUACUCGCAAGUAACGCAGUAUUCGCAACGCGGCAAGAAAGAUAUCCUGUCCCUUCUGAAACAGAGCUUAAUCGUAGUCGAAACAUAAGGGCACGGACAUCGUUAUGAAUAAUUAACAACUUGUAUAUCUCUAUAUUUUCCUUUACCCUCCCUUCACCCUUCCUCUUCUUUUCGAAACGAUAUAUGUGUACCUAUAAGUCAUUCAAGUUCGUUAAAAUUUUCGUACGCGACUUUAUGACGAUUUUUAACUGUCCUCUUCUUCACCCCCACCCUCCCCUGCCAAUCGAUUUUCAGAUUUAUAUCGUACAAGGAUUUUUUUUACUUUCUUUUUCUUUCUCUUUUUGUUUUUUUUUUUUAAGUUAUCGAUGAUCAAUCAACGAUUUUUACUAUUGUUUAAAUAUAAACGACAAUUAUUCAUUUAACUCCGUUACUUUGUUUAAAUGUCAAUCAAUUGAAAUUUUUAUGAUCUCGUUAACAGUCUCUUGAGUCUUCUCCCGUUUUCUUCUUUCUUUUUGUUUUUUUUCUUUUUUCUUUCUUUCAUUCUCUAUUUCUUUCGUUUUGACGUUUAUUUGCAUAUCGGUACCCAUCAGGAAUUACGAUGUUAUUACGGUCGUUAAAUCUGAAGGAUUCGAACCUAUCGAAUCGGUUUUUUUUUUAAACUUAGAUCCCCCUCCGAGAAGUAUGUUCCAAUUGCAUCCAUUUGAUAAGUAAGUACGAGCUCUCGUUCCCCACGAUAUCUUUGUAUUUACCACCCUUAUUUAUCCUCUUUCGUGUAUUGCACACGUCUCUUCAAAGUUCACUAUAGUUGACCUUAACGCGUGGCAGCUCCGUCGAGAAUCUAUCUAGUCUUUCCUGGACACUCAAACUUUCCGGGAAAAGUUUAUAUUCUUUCUCAUUAUAUGACUAAAAAAUAUAUCUCUCAUAUCUCUUCGAUGUUUAAGCUGAAAAAAAAGCCUGAGAUUUGUUUGACUAUAAUUGGAUAGAAAUUUAUUUGACGAAUUUAUUAAACAUAAGAAUGAGAUAUUUAUGAUAUUACAGAUUAGUUAUAUCUAAAUUACAUCUAAAUGCUAAUUUAGUUACGUUUAUUAAUAAAUAUUUUUGAAUAAAUAUAAAUAUACAUGCAAUUUUAUUAUUAACAAAUAUACUUCAUAAACAUAAUUUAUAAACAUUAUUAUUAUAUAAACAGAAACACGUUGAUGACAUGAGAUUACGUGUAGAAGAAAUUGUUUAUAUAGACAUACACAGGUAUAUGCAAUUUUAUAGUUAAUACAUAUACUUAAAAAUAAUGUUUCUAAUGCUCGUUUUAGAAGAGAAUUUUUUAAUCGAUUUUAUUUGAGGAUUCUUUCUCAAAAAGAAAUUGUUCUUUGAAAGAUCGCAAAUACGAUUCAGAAAAUAUAAAUUUGAAUAUAGGAAGGGAGAUAAGAACCGGGAAUGUCUUUUGCAACGUUGAUUUUAUAACGAUUUCACGUUGAUUUCUUGGGUAAUCUUGAUACCGUACAAAAUUGUUUAAACUCACAUCUACGAACGAUUUUUAUCGUUAUCGGCUCGUACCAGCGUCAAA
Molecule: long non-coding RNA, 2404 nt
Organism: Vespa crabro (European hornet)
Lineage: Eukaryota; Metazoa; Arthropoda; Insecta; Hymenoptera; Vespidae
Exons: 2
Source: RefSeq, a predicted model, not a curated record